Molecule: ribosomal RNA, 2902 nt
Filed under: Escherichia coli KOEGE 61 (174a)
Lineage: Bacteria; Pseudomonadati; Pseudomonadota; Gammaproteobacteria; Enterobacterales; Enterobacteriaceae
Description: bacterial LSU rRNA
Rfam family: Bacterial large subunit ribosomal RNA
Source: RNAcentral
UUAAGCGACUAAGCGUACACGGUGGAUGCCCUGGCAGUCAGAGGCGAUGAAGGACGUGCUAAUCUGCGAUAAGCGUCGGUGAGGUGAUAUGAACCGUUAUAACCGGCGAUUUCCGAAUGGGGAAACCCAGUGUGUUUCGACACACUAUCAUUAACUGAAUCCAUAGGUUAAUGAGGCGAACCGGGGGAACUGAAACAUCUAAGUACCCCGAGGAAAAGAAAUCAACCGAGAUUCCCCCAGUAGCGGCGAGCGAACGGGGAGGAGCCCAGAGCCUGAAUCAGUGUGUGUGUUAGUGGAAGCGUCUGGAAAGGCGUGCGAUACAGGGUGACAGCCCCGUACACAAAAAUGCACAUAUUGUGAGCUCGAUGAGUAGGGCGGGACACGUGGUAUCCUGUCUGAAUAUGGGGGGACCAUCCUCCAAGGCUAAAUACUCCUGACUGACCGAUAGUGAACCAGUACCGUGAGGGAAAGGCGAAAAGAACCCCGGCGAGGGGAGUGAAAAAGAACCUGAAACCGUGUACGUACAAGCAGUGGGAGCCUCUUAAUGGGGUGACUGCGUACCUUUUGUAUAAUGGGUCAGCGACUUAUAUUCUGUAGCAAGGUUAACCGAAUAGGGGAGCCGAAGGGAAACCGAGUCUUAACUGGGCGUUAAGUUGCAGAGUAUAGACCCGAAACCCGGUGAUCUAGCCAUGGGCAGGUUGAAGGUUGGGUAACACUAACUGGAGGACCGAACCGACUAAUGUUGAAAAAUUAGCGGAUGACUUGUGGCUGGGGGUGAAAGGCCAAUCAAACCGGGAGAUAGCUGGUUCUCCCCGAAAGCUAUUUAGGUAGCGCCUCGUGAAUUCAUCUCCGGGGGUAGAGCACUGUUUCGGCAAGGGGGUCAUCCCGACUUACCAACCCGAUGCAAACUGCGAAUACCGGAGAAUGUUAUCACGGGAGACACACGGCGGGUGCUAACGUCCGUCGUGAAGAGGGAAACAACCCAGACCGCCAGCUAAGGUCCCAAAGUCAUGGUUAAGUGGGAAACGAUGUGGGAAGGCCCAGACAGCCAGGAUGUUGGCUUAGAAGCAGCCAUCAUUUAAAGAAAGCGUAAUAGCUCACUGGUCGAGUCGGCCUGCGCGGAAGAUGUAACGGGGCUAAACCAUGCACCGAAGCUGCGGCAGCGACACUAUGUGUUGUUGGGUAGGGGAGCGUUCUGUAAGCCUGUGAAGGUGGCCUGUGAGGGUUGCUGGAGGUAUCAGAAGUGCGAAUGCUGACAUAAGUAACGAUAAAGCGGGUGAAAAGCCCGCUCGCCGGAAGACCAAGGGUUCCUGUCCAACGUUAAUCGGGGCAGGGUGAGUCGACCCCUAAGGCGAGGCCGAAAGGCGUAGUCGAUGGGAAACAGGUUAAUAUUCCUGUACUUGGUGUUACUGCGAAGGGGGGACGGAGAAGGCUAUGUUGGCCGGGCGACGGUUGUCCCGGUUUAAGCGUGUAGGCUGGUUUUCCAGGCAAAUCCGGAAAACCAAGGCUGAGGCGUGAUGACGAGGCACUACGGUGCUGAAGCGACAAAUGCCCUGCUUCCAGGAAAAGCCUCUAAGCAUCAGGUAACAUCAAAUCGUACCCCAAACCGACACAGGUGGUCAGGUAGAGAAUACCAAGGCGCUUGAGAGAACUCGGGUGAAGGAACUAGGCAAAAUGGUGCCGUAACUUCGGGAGAAGGCACGCUGAUAUGUAGGUGAAGCGACUUGCUCGUGGAGCUGAAAUCAGUCGAAGAUACCAGCUGGCUGCAACUGUUUAUUAAAAACACAGCACUGUGCAAACACGAAAGUGGACGUAUACGGUGUGACGCCUGCCCGGUGCCGGAAGGUUAAUUGAUGGGGUUAGCGGUAACGCGAAGCUCUUGAUCGAAGCCCCGGUAAACGGCGGCCGUAACUAUAACGGUCCUAAGGUAGCGAAAUUCCUUGUCGGGUAAGUUCCGACCUGCACGAAUGGCGUAAUGAUGGCCAGGCUGUCUCCACCCGAGACUCAGUGAAAUUGAACUCGCUGUGAAGAUGCAGUGUACCCGCGGCAAGACGGAAAGACCCCGUGAACCUUUACUAUAGCUUGACACUGAACAUUGAGCCUUGAUGUGUAGGAUAGGUGGGAGGCUUUGAAGUGUGGACGCCAGUCUGCAUGGAGCCGACCUUGAAAUACCACCCUUUAAUGUUUGAUGUUCUAACGUUGGCCCGUAAUCCGGGUUGCGGACAGUGUCUGGUGGGUAGUUUGACUGGGGCGGUCUCCUCCUAAAGAGUAACGGAGGAGCACGAAGGUUGGCUAAUCCUGGUCGGACAUCAGGAGGUUAGUGCAAUGGCAUAAGCCAGCUUGACUGCGAGCGUGACGGCGCGAGCAGGUGCGAAAGCAGGUCAUAGUGAUCCGGUGGUUCUGAAUGGAAGGGCCAUCGCUCAACGGAUAAAAGGUACUCCGGGGAUAACAGGCUGAUACCGCCCAAGAGUUCAUAUCGACGGCGGUGUUUGGCACCUCGAUGUCGGCUCAUCACAUCCUGGGGCUGAAGUAGGUCCCAAGGGUAUGGCUGUUCGCCAUUUAAAGUGGUACGCGAGCUGGGUUUAGAACGUCGUGAGACAGUUCGGUCCCUAUCUGCCGUGGGCGCUGGAGAACUGAGGGGGGCUGCUCCUAGUACGAGAGGACCGGAGUGGACGCAUCACUGGUGUUCGGGUUGUCAUGCCAAUGGCACUGCCCGGUAGCUAAAUGCGGAAGAGAUAAGUGCUGAAAGCAUCUAAGCACGAAACUUGCCCCGAGAUGAGUUCUCCCUGACUCCUUGAGAGUCCUGAAGGAACGUUGAAGACGACGACGUUGAUAGGCCGGGUGUGUAAGCGCAGCGAUGCGUUGAGCUAACCGGUACUAAUGAACCGUGAGGCUUAACCUU